Segniliparus rotundus DSM 44985 is the source of this 74-nucleotide transfer RNA. It matches the Rfam family "tRNA". Rfam says of the family: Transfer RNA (tRNA) molecules are approximately 80 nucleotides in length. Their secondary structure includes four short double-helical elements and three loops (D, anti-codon, and T loops). Further hydrogen bonds mediate the characteristic L-shaped molecular structure. tRNAs have two regions of fundamental functional importance: the anti-codon, which is responsible for specific mRNA codon recognition, and the 3' end, to which the tRNAs corresponding amino acid is attached (by aminoacyl-tRNA synthetases). tRNAs cope with the degeneracy of the genetic code in two manners: having more than one tRNA (with a specific anti-codon) for a particular amino acid; and 'wobble' base-pairing, i.e. permitting non-standard base-pairing at the 3rd anti-codon position. NCBI's taxonomy places the organism in Bacteria, Bacillati, Actinomycetota, Actinomycetes, Mycobacteriales, Segniliparaceae. The record is from Rfam.
CGGGGCGUGGCGCAGCUUGGUAGCGCAUCCGCUUUGGGAGCGGAGGGUCGCAGGUUCAAAUCCUGUCGCCCCGA